AUGGGGCAUCGCAGGUUCUUACAUGAAGACCACCCCUUUAGGUCCAAUACCCAUUCUUUUGAUGGCAUUGCUGAGCAUAGGCCAGCGCCAAUUCCUCUCUCUGGAUCAGAAAUUGUUGCUCAGACGGAAGAUAUGCAUACAGUUUUUGGGAAGGAUCCUUCCGGGAAGAAGAAAACCAAGAGAAAGCGCAAGGAUGAUGAGCCGUUAAUAGUUUGGAAAAGGAAGUCUAUUUUUUUCAGGCUGCCAUAUUGGGAGAGCUUGUUGCUGCGUCACAACUUAGACGUCAUGCACAUAGAAAAAAAUGUAUGUGAGAACAUAAUCAACACAUUGUUGUGCAUUGAUGGGAAAUCUAAGGAUAAUCUGAACUCUCGCUUGGACCUUCAAGCUCUAAACAUUAGAAGUGACCUUCAUCCUAUUGAACUUGAAGUAGAAGAUAAAUUUUACUUACCUCCAGCACCUUAUGAAAUGAAUGUUGCCCAACAGAGGUUAUUUUGUGGAGUAUUUAAAGGAGCUAGGUUCCCUUACGGGUUAUCAGCUGAUAUACGUGGUAAUGUGCAUGUCAAGGAAAGAAAAAUAACCAGGCUAAAGAGCCAUGACAACCACAUCUUGAUGCAACAUUUGCUACCACUUGCUGUGAGAAGGCUAUUGCCCAAAAAAGUUAGUGCAGCACUGAUUCGUGUUAGUAAUUUUUUCAAGCAGAUUUACUCACAUGUUAUUUCUAUUAGUGAUAUGGAAAAACUAGAGGCUGAAAUAGCUGAGACCUUGAGCAUUCUUGAGACUAUAUUCCCCCCAUCCUUUUUUGAUAUCAUGGUACACUUGAUGGUGCAUCUUCCAGCCCAAGCAAAAAUAGCUGGUCCAGUGCAUUUUCGCAACAUGUUUCCUAUAGAAAGGUAUUUGUGCCGGUGUAAGGGCUUUCUUCAUACUAGAAGUCAUCCAGAGGGAUCUAUUGCCGAGAGCUAUUUAUUUGAUGAGACUCUUACGUACUGUUCUCGGUAUAUAAAGGGCGAAACUCAGUUUACUCGACAAAUUAGAAAUGAUCAAGGUUUGUGUAUGGAAACUAGUAGUACCACACCUUUCUUC
RNAcentral lists this ribosomal RNA (1080 nucleotides) under Triticum aestivum (bread wheat). RNAcentral describes it as "partial small subunit ribosomal RNA". Lineage: Eukaryota; Viridiplantae; Streptophyta; Magnoliopsida; Poales; Poaceae. The record is from RNAcentral.